UUUUCUGUAGUAGAGUUUGUUGUGAAAUUUACAAACUGCCUCUGGCCUUGUAGUCGGGGUCCUUCAGGAAGUGGGCAGGGUCAGACUCACGUGACACAAGGGGGGGGGGUGGUUGUGUUCUGAUAUAACCUCUAGUCGCAGGUGUGUGCGAUGAAUUGCGGUUUUGGAGAAGGUUGCUUCCAGCUGGAGGUGAAUCGAAAAGACCGGGCCUCAAGUGAACGGCUGUAGAACAGAUAUCGCUAAACGAAGAAGACUACGGAAAACAAAGGACCAAAAGACUUUCUUGUUUCCCCCACUACAAACUUUUGUAUAUACACCUUUUUUUUUUAUCUGAACUGCAACAACAAAGGAGGAGCGGGGCUGGCCCGGGGGAGGAUGCAGACGGAACGGAGCCAAUUAAGCACCGGAGUGGUCCCUGAGGCAGUCGUCGUCUUCAGAACGCAAACUAUCACAGUCUGAGAUAUUACUACUCAGCUCAGCCAGUUUCAGCACCAUACAAUAUAGCUUCAUCAGGAAAAGGUGUCAAAACAGCACGAGGAAGACGAGGAGGGGAAAGUGUUGAUGUUGUCAGUGCUAUCUGGUGAGAUUACCCUCUGGAAACACCAGUCUGAUUACUUUUGAGAAACAUGCAACAAAACGGAUCAACCUUACAGCUGGACAUUUUAAAUGCAGUAACACACGUAAGCCCUAAAUGAGUGUGUAAAGCUUUGACAGCCCAUCAGUCAAAUAUUGUACCACCACCAAGUUUUAAAUAUAUUCCAUCCCAGAGCUUCAUGUUUGCAUGCUUAUGCAGAAUUCAGCCACCAUAAAUCCAAACAAUACCUGCGAGCUGAAAUUAUGUGGGGGCUACUUGGGUAAUAUCAAGCAGACUACAUCUGCUCUCCCCAAUGGCAGGAGAUUCAGGCAAGAUAAAUCUGAUUGGAUGCUCAACAAAACUGCCAAUAAAAAAGCCACCCCACUACACGACAUGCAGGCAACGAAAUGGUGAUGCCGGUGAAAUUUCCUAAAAAGCAAGCUACUAGCCAGUCUACAAGCUUUAAGGGCUGGAGAUAUUCUGUGUUUUUCUUUUU
Molecule: long non-coding RNA, 1070 nt
Organism: Sander lucioperca (pikeperch)
Lineage: Eukaryota; Metazoa; Chordata; Actinopteri; Perciformes; Percidae
Exons: 2
Source: RefSeq, a predicted model, not a curated record